RNAcentral lists this ribosomal RNA (450 nucleotides) under uncultured bacterium. Its description in RNAcentral is "partial 16S ribosomal RNA". It matches the Rfam family "Bacterial small subunit ribosomal RNA", at positions 354 to 796 of the family's 1533-position model. The record is from RNAcentral.
GUGGGGAAUAUUGGGCAAUGGGGGAAACCCUGACCCAGCAACGCGGCGUGAGGGAAGAAGGUUUUCGGAUUGUAAAGCUCUGUUAAUCGGGACGAAAGAGCCUAGUGUGAAUAAUGCUAGGAAGUGACGGUACCGGAAUAGAAAGCCACGGCUAACUACGUGCCAGCAGCCGCGGUAAUACGUAGGUGGCAAGCGUUGUCCGGAAUUAUUGGGCGUAAAGCGCGCGCAGGCGGAUCUGCCAGUCUGUCUUAAAAGUUCGGGGCUUAACCCCGUGAUGGGAUGGAAACUACAGAUCUAGAGUAUCGGAGAGGAAAGUGGAAUUCCUAGUGUAGCGGUGAAAUGCGUAGAUAUUAGGAAGAACACCAGUGGCGAAGGCGACUUUCUGGACGAAAACUGACGCUGAGGCGCGAAAGCCAGGGGAGCGAACGGGAUUAGAAACCCCGGUAGUCC